Molecule: non-coding RNA, 99 nt
Organism: Schizophyllum commune H4-8
Lineage: Eukaryota; Fungi; Basidiomycota; Agaricomycetes; Agaricales; Schizophyllaceae
Source: the annotation of a RefSeq genome assembly
UCUUCGGUAGUAUAUCGGAUAGUACACCCGCCUGUCAUUUCCAAAGCAACGCACAUAGCUUAUUCGCGGGAGAGCGGGGUUCGACUCCCCGCCGAAGAG